UCAGAUGAGACCAUGAAGCUGUUUGGACUCUAUUUCUCUGCUGUCUGGAUAUUGUGCUGCUGCUGCUGCUGUCUUGUCUGUGGCGGAGGUCAUGGUGUGUGUGAAGACAGGAAGCUCAUUACAAGAAUCAGUUUAACAGCAGAACUGCAGUCUGAAAUCCUGCUGCCGUGCCUUUUUGAACCAGCUCUGACUGGAUCAAACCCGACCAUGAAGUUAGGUGCUGUGUGGACUCAGAUUAAUGAAACCAUUAACUACAUUGUAGAGAUCGAAGUAAAUGGUCAUGAAAGCUUCUGGAAUAACAGACGCAAUAGAAUUAAGGCAUUCAGUGCUGCCGCUGCCUCUGGAAACUUCUCCAUCCUGAUUAGAGAUGUGCAGCUGUCUGAUCUGGGUCUCUACCGCUGUGAACUCUUCAGAGACGUCAACUGUUCUCUGGGCUAUAAAGAGAUAGAAAUCAGUGCGUUUUCACUGCACAUUAACUGGCAGCUCGUAGUUGCAGGAGGAGGAGGAGGAGGAGGAGGAUUUCUGCUUCUCUUUAUGAUCACUGUGUGCGUUUACUAUACAUGGACAAAACGUGAGUCUGAUAAAUCUGCUAUGAGACCUGGUGAGUAAAUCGUAUUAGAGGUGACAUAUCAUGAAAAUCUGACUUUUCCAGGUUUUAAGUGCUAUAAUCAGGUCCCCGGUGCAUCUACCAACCAAGGAAACGAGAAAAAUAUUAACCCAGUAACUUUGUUUUGGUAGGCCUUUUUCUGCAAGCGUCUGAGAAAACGAGCGCGUCAGAUUUCGCUCCCUUGGUGACGUGGCAAAAGGGAUCUCAUUAUAAUAUAUGAGAUUAUGCGCGUUCUGCUUCCACUGAAAAUAGGAAUUUUCAAAAUGAUAUAAUAAAUUAUCUGUGUAUUUUGAGCUGAAACUUCACAGACACAUUCUGGGGACACCAUAGACAUAUAUUACAUAUUGUAAAAAGGCGCAUAAUAUGUCUCCUUUAAUAUUAUACAACAAACCAUAACAAUGUAAGAUAAUUCAUACAACACGUAUGCUACUACAAUAGAGCAAAUUAAGUGAAAGUUACAUGUUGUAAAGACAUUAUAAACAAAACAAGUAAAAGACCCGAUGUGUGAUCACAAUAUUAUUCUGGGUCAGGCUGAUUUAAUUCAAGGCACUCUAGAAUAGUUUUCAAUGCAAAACUGCUGUAGAAUGCAGAUGUGUUUAAAUCUGGAGAACAUAUUGUACAAAGCUUCAUAUCAUUAACAUUUUCUCUUAACAUCAUCUUUCAGGCCCAGCAGUUGAUGCGCUGACCUACACAACAGUUGUCUAUGAGGGAUUGCCAUGAAAGCAAGGGUGCAUUUAUAUCAUAAUUAAAUACAUUGAUACAGUAGCCUGUCAUUUAUUUACUGUGUGUAAAAUGCAUUGUUUGUAUAACAUAUAAACUCAGCUGACACCGAGACGUACCUUUAUAACAUGGCUGUGUGGGUAGGCAGGCUACAUUUCACAACACAUUUCUAAUUUCCACCCUUAUUUGCCUGAAUAAUUGAAUUAAAACUGCAAAACCAGGGCAUAUCAAUAUCAGCAGUUUUUGUGUCAUAUAUUUUAAAUGUUGCAGCUGAAUACAUGAAGUUUCAGAAUAUUUCUCAGCAUCUCUCUCUUUCUCUUUGCUCUCGUCGAGAAAAAAGCAAAAAGACUAAAUGCUCAUAGGAUCAUUUAUUCAAUAGUACUUUCUUUUUUUGAACAGUCAAGUAAACUAGAUGUUUAAUAAGACAGUGGUGGCCAAAAUGAUUAGAACACUAGUAUUUUCACCAGCUGAAAAUGGCUUUAAGUCACACUUUUGCUGUAGUGUGUCAGAAGGAAAUAUCCGGUUACAUUCUGUCUGGAAUGACAUGAAGAAACAGAACAAACUGAGACAGACUAAAUCCAGAAGAACUGUGGCAACGUCUCCAAGAUGCUUCAAGAAACCUACCUGUAAAGCUACCUGAAAAACUAUGCGCACGUGCACCGAGGGCAAAAGCUGCUUUAAACGCAAAGGAUGGUCACACCAAAUGUUGAUUUAAUGUAGUUAAUAGAAGUUAAUUAAUAAAGAAAAUCUAUUUUUGACAGCAUCCUCAUUUUACAGCAUUUUUACACAAGUGCCUAAAACGUUUAACAUUACAGGUAGGUUUCUUGAAGCAUCUUGAGAGACGUUGCCACAGUUCUUCUGGAUUUAGUCUGUCUCAGUUUGUUCUGUUUCUUCAUGUCAUUCCAGACAGACUGGAUGAUGAAGAGAUCAGAUCUCUGUGUGGAGCACUGGCUGUAGUCAGACAAAAAUCUCACUGGAUUAUUACAAUGAAUGGCAAAAUGAAUGUUUGGAAAAGUAACCGGAUAUUUCCUUCUGACACACUACAGCUAAAGGUUUUUAGCUGGUGAAAAUACUAGUGUUCUAAUCGUUUUGGCCACCACUGUAAACUAAAACUAACAUUAAUAAACAUUCCAUCAAAUGUAUGUUUAUCUUUUUUUAAAGUGCUUAAGUUCAGUUUAGAAUAUCAGGGUAUCUUUCACUGUGAACACAGAGGAACCAUUAGCAUCAAACCUCAGUGAGACAGUGCUAUUUUUAUUAGCCAGUCUGCGUACUUUUGAGUUCACAAGGUCCGAACACAGCUCACAGAUACUGUAAUGCUUUGCAAGAUGUAGGUGUGAGUGAGUAGCAUCACCUUAACCAUAAAAGCUGUAAAAGGCAAGCUGAAGUGAUGCUGCCAUGUUACUUUUUAAACCACGUCACCCUCCACAGCAUGCAGUCCCACUCAUCGGACAGUAAAAAUUCUGCAAUAACAGGAGUAGAUGAAUUGAAGUGUCAGUUUGCUGUUAGGCACUGCUCAUUUUUAUAUCAUAUUUAACUAAUUACCCUGUGAAGUCUUUUUUUUUCCUGAGAGGUGGGUCACUUAAGUCUCUCAUUCUUACCUGUCUUUCUCAACAAACCAAACAGUGUGUAUUUCAGUAUUAGGGAUACUAGUUUGGAAUAUACAACAUAGUCAGACUAGACAGCCAGAAAGUUACUUGGCUUUAUUUUAACUGCUCUAUAUAUUUGUAUCAUUUUUU
Molecule: long non-coding RNA, 3063 nt
Filed under: Sinocyclocheilus anshuiensis
Lineage: Eukaryota; Metazoa; Chordata; Actinopteri; Cypriniformes; Cyprinidae
Description: lncRNA (ENSSANG00000042449.1)
Source: RNAcentral